RNAcentral lists this transfer RNA (72 nucleotides) under Camelus bactrianus (Bactrian camel). It matches the Rfam family "tRNA". Rfam says of the family: Transfer RNA (tRNA) molecules are approximately 80 nucleotides in length. RNAcentral also lists the same sequence under 1 other name. The record is from Rfam by way of RNAcentral. Lineage: Eukaryota; Metazoa; Chordata; Mammalia; Artiodactyla; Camelidae.
GAGGGUAUCGCUCAGUGGUAGAGCGCGUGCUUAGCAUGCCCAAGGUCCUAAGUUCAAUCCCCAGUGCCUCCA